CCGAGUUUACAACUCCCAAACCCUGUGAACAUACCACUUGUUGCCUCGGCGGAUCAGCCCGCUCCGUAAAACGGACUGCCCGCCAGAGGACCCCUAAACUCUGUUUCUAUAUGUAACUUCUGAGUAAAACCAUAAAUAAAUCA
RNAcentral lists this unclassified non-coding RNA (143 nucleotides) under soil metagenome. RNAcentral's name for it is "partial internal transcribed spacer 1". The record is from RNAcentral.